Molecule: signal recognition particle RNA, 252 nt
Filed under: Piliocolobus tephrosceles (Ugandan red Colobus)
Lineage: Eukaryota; Metazoa; Chordata; Mammalia; Primates; Cercopithecidae
Description: Metazoan signal recognition particle RNA (ENSPTEG00000033326.1)
Rfam family: Metazoan signal recognition particle RNA
About the family: The signal recognition particle (SRP) is a universally conserved ribonucleoprotein. It is involved in the co-translational targeting of proteins to membranes. The eukaryotic SRP consists of a 300-nucleotide 7S RNA and six proteins: SRPs 72, 68, 54, 19, 14, and 9.
Source: RNAcentral
GCUGGACAUGGUGGUCCAUGCCUGUAGUCCCAGCUACUUGGGGAGGCUGAGGCAGGAGGGCUGCAGUGCUGUAUGCUGAUCAGGUAUCUGCAUUCAGUUCAUCAUCAAUAUAGUGACUUCCCGGGAAUGAGAGACCACAAGGUUGCCUAAGGAGGGGUGAACCAGCCCCAGUUUAAAAACGGAGUAAUUCAAAACUCCUAUGCUGAUCAGUAGUGGAAUCACACCUGAGAAUAACCAUGGCACUCUUGCCUG